GGAGAAGCAACUGUUGGAGUCAGCUGCCUGAGGAAUAUACUUCUCUAGGCUGGGGUGGGGAAAUGAGCUUGAAGACAAGGAACUGGCUGAGUCUUAAUUUGGGCGAGUGAAAGAAGGUGACUGAGCCAGGAGGAGAGCACAGAUGGCUUGGUGGUGGUAUGGUGUGCUCCAUCGGCUGCCAACCUAGGGCCAUCGUCUGCCUCCAUCACCCCUCCGCCCGCCCGCCUACCCACCCAAUCCCAAACGGGUGCUGGAUCAGGUGCUGAAUCCGGCUGCCUCCUCGGGUCCUCCUUCCCCUUCCCUCUUAGGCAUGGGGAGUGGAGCAACAGACGGAGAGUGGCAUGAAGACACAAAGGAGGAAGCACACCAUUGCCAAGACCCCAAGGAAGAAGGAUGGAAAGCGCUGGCAGUCCUGCCUGGCCCCCAGCCAGUUCCCUGCUGAAGAUGGCCAGAUCCCCUUGUCUGGUGUGCCUGCACAGGAGACAGCACCAGCCAAGCUGAUUGUGUAUCUACAGCGUUUCCGGCCUCAAGACUAUCAGCGCCUGCUAGAAGUGAACAGCUCCAGAGAGAGGCCACAGGAGACUGAAGAUCCUGACCACUGCCUGGGCUAGGGGUGUCACUUCCUAGAAGGGGAAGGGAACUCUGGGUCUAACGGAGUCCACUCCUGGGCCCACUGUGCCUCUCCCCUCAGUGUCCCUUCUGACAGUGACUCCUCUCUCUCCAGCGCUGCCUGUUUCUUCCCCCUCCUCUAAGCUACUCUUCCUUGAGCCCUCCCUGGCUGCUUCCUCUCGCUCAUCCGUCAGAUGCAAUCUGUGGGCCGCCCCUCUCCCCUGGCCGCUAAGCAGCCUCCAUUGAUUUCCGCUCGUGUUUAUAGGAUUUCCACUUAGCCGUGAUCAGUAGUUAAGCACAGGAAAAUCCCUUGCCACCCCCC
Long non-coding RNA from Homo sapiens (human), 931 nucleotides. Ensembl annotates it as ZFHX2 antisense RNA 1. Its record names the gene ZFHX2-AS1. The record is from Ensembl. Lineage: Eukaryota; Metazoa; Chordata; Mammalia; Primates; Hominidae.